This 106-nucleotide ribosomal RNA is filed under the name Ovis aries (sheep). The record is from RNAcentral. Lineage: Eukaryota; Metazoa; Chordata; Mammalia; Artiodactyla; Bovidae.
AUCUACGGCCAUACCACCCUGAACGCGCCCGAUCUCGUCUGAACUCGGAAGCUAAGCAGGGUCGGGCCCGGUUAGUACUUGGAUGGGAGAAGGAUGGGUUUUAAUC